GACGAACGCUGGCGGCGUGCUUAACACAUGCAAGUCGUACGGUAAGGCCCUUUCGGGGGUCCCCUAGUGGCGAACGGUUGCGUAACACGUGAGUAACCUGCCCACAACUUUGGGAUAACGCUAGGAAACUGGUGCUAAUACUGGUUAUGUGCUCCUGCUGCAUGGUGUGGGUUGGAAAGCUCCGGCGGCGGUGGAUGGGCUGGCGGCCUAUCAGCUUGUUGGUGGGGUAGUGGCCUACCAGGCCGCCGACGGGUAGCCGGACUGAGAGGGUGACCGGCGGCAUAGGGACUGAGAGACGGCACAGACGCCGACGGGAGGAAGCAGGGGGGAAUAUUGCACAAGGGGCGCAAGCCUGAUGCAGCAGCGCCUCGUGCGGGAUGACGGCCUUCUGGUGGUAAACAGCUUUCAGCAGGGACGAAGCUUUUUGUGACGGUACCUGCAGAAGAAGCACCGGCUAACUACGUG
Molecule: ribosomal RNA, 465 nt
Filed under: uncultured bacterium
Lineage: Bacteria
Description: partial 16S ribosomal RNA
Rfam family: Bacterial small subunit ribosomal RNA
Source: RNAcentral